UACGUAGGGGGCGAGCGUUGUCCGGAUUCAUUGGGCGUAAAGCGCGCGUAGGCGGCCCGGUAAGUCGGGUGUGAAAUCCUGGGGCUCAACCCCAGGACUGCACUCGAUACUGCCAGGCUAGAGGUAGGUAGGGGAGAUCGGAAUUCCUGGUGUAGCGGUGAAAUGCGCAGAUAUCAGGAGGAACACCGGUGGCGAAGGCGGAUCUCUGGGCCUUACCUGACGCUCAGGCGCGAAAGCUAGGGGAGCGAACAGG
Molecule: ribosomal RNA, 253 nt
Filed under: uncultured bacterium
Lineage: Bacteria
Description: partial 16S ribosomal RNA
Rfam family: Bacterial small subunit ribosomal RNA
Source: RNAcentral